Molecule: ribosomal RNA, 547 nt
Filed under: Neopestalotiopsis saprophytica
Lineage: Eukaryota; Fungi; Ascomycota; Sordariomycetes; Amphisphaeriales; Sporocadaceae
Description: eukaryotic LSU rRNA
Rfam family: 5.8S ribosomal RNA (bases 185-338)
Source: RNAcentral
GUAACAAGGUCUCCGUUGGUGAACCAGCGGAGGGAUCAUUAUAGAGUUUUCUAAACUCCCAACCCAUGUGAACUUACCUUUUGUUGCCUCGGCAGAAGUUAUAGGUCUUCUUAUAGCUGCUGCCGGUGGACCAUUAAACUCUUGUUAUUUUAUGUAAUCUGAGCGUCUUAUUUUAAUAAGUCAAAACUUUCAACAACGGAUCUCUUGGUUCUGGCAUCGAUGAAGAACGCAGCGAAAUGCGAUAAGUAAUGUGAAUUGCAGAAUUCAGUGAAUCAUCGAAUCUUUGAACGCACAUUGCGCCCAUUAGUAUUCUAGUGGGCAUGCCUGUUCGAGCGUCAUUUCAACCCUUAAGCCUAGCUUAGUGUUGGGAAUCUACUUCUCUUAGGAGUUGUAGUUCCUGAAAUACAACGGCGGAUUUGUAGUAUCCUCUGAGCGUAGUAAUUUUUUUCUCGCUUUUGUUAGGUGCUAUAACUCCCAGCCGCUAAACCCCCAAUUUUUUGUGGUUGACCUCGGAUCAGGUAGGAAUACCCGCUGAACUUAAGCAUAU